This 254-nucleotide ribosomal RNA is filed under the name uncultured bacterium. RNAcentral describes it as "partial 16S ribosomal RNA". It matches the Rfam family "Bacterial small subunit ribosomal RNA", at positions 524 to 776 of the family's 1533-position model. The record is from RNAcentral.
UACGGAGGGGGCUAGCGUUGUUCGGAAUUACUGGGCGUAAAGCGCACGUAGGCGGCUUUGUAAGUUAGAGGUGAAAGCCCGGGGCUCAACUCCGGAAUUGCCUUUAAGACUGCAUCGCUAGAAUUGUGGAGAGGUAAGUGGAAUUCCGAGUGUAGAGGUGAAAUUCGUAGAUAUUCGGAAGAACACCAGUGGCGAAGGCGACUUACUGGACACAUAUUGACGCUGAGGUGGCGAAAGCGUGGGGAGCAAACAGG